This 253-nucleotide ribosomal RNA is filed under the name uncultured bacterium. RNAcentral's name for it is "partial 16S ribosomal RNA". It matches the Rfam family "Bacterial small subunit ribosomal RNA", at positions 524 to 776 of the family's 1533-position model. The record is from RNAcentral.
UACGUAGGGUGCGAGCGUUAAUCGGAAUUACUGGGCGUAAAGCGUGCGCAGGCGGUUCGUUAAGUCAGCUGUGAAAGCCCCGGGCUCAACCUGGGAAUGGCGGUUGAAACUGGCGAACUAGAAUCUGGCAGAGGGGGGUGGAAUUCCACGUGUAGCAGUGAAAUUCGUAGAUAUCGGGAGGAACACCGGUGGCGAAGGCGGCGAUCUGGGUCGAUACUGACGCUGAGGUGCGAAAGCGUGGGGAGCAAACAGG